Molecule: ribosomal RNA, 253 nt
Filed under: uncultured bacterium
Lineage: Bacteria
Description: partial 16S ribosomal RNA
Rfam family: Bacterial small subunit ribosomal RNA
Source: RNAcentral
UACGUAGGGUGCGAGCGUUAAUCGGAAUUACUGGGCGUAAAGCGUGCGCAGGCGGCUUUGCAAGACAGAUGUGAAAUCCCCGGGCUCAACCUGGGAACUGCAUUUGUGACUGCAAGGCUAGAGUACGGCAGAGGGGGAUGGAAUUCCGCGUGUAGCAGUGAAAUGCGUAGAUAUGCGGAGGAACACCAAUGGCGAAGGCAAUCCCCUGGGCCUGUACUGACGCUCAUGCACGAAAGCGUGGGGAGCAAACACG